RNAcentral lists this long non-coding RNA (962 nucleotides) under Anser brachyrhynchus (Pink-footed goose). RNAcentral's name for it is "lncRNA (ENSABRG00000013800.1)". Lineage: Eukaryota; Metazoa; Chordata; Aves; Anseriformes; Anatidae. The record is from RNAcentral.
CAUUUGAUAUCUAUCUGUGCUAAUCUUCCAUGUACAGUGACUGGUACUUGUCUGAAGCUUUGAGACCGAAGUAGGAGAAACAAAUCUAAAUCUGCUACAAAUAAUUAAAUGAAACAGAAAUAUAUUUCAGCUGACUAAAAGUUGUGUUUUCUCCCCACUUCACCUCACGUCAUUAGAAGAUUCGUGUGUCCAUUCUCUACAUAAAUAAAAACUUGUCUGUUUGUUUUGGAAACUGUUUUCUAGGGAAAGUGAGACUGCGUCAUGGGCUAUGUGAUGAGGUAGAACUCUGAUCAUAUGGGAACUAACAGAUUAUCUCAAUACAAAUUUAUAAAGUUGGCUUUGACUUUACUAGGACAACAGGAGCCUUGUCCAAGCAGCUUUCACCAUGACUGGCACUAGCUGUGAGACUGGGCUUGUUCUUAGAGUUUCACUGGGGAAAGAUUUAGCACCAGGAAGUUUCUGUUUGCAUGCCUGCUUGUGUAAUGGAUGGUACAUUUCUUUCUUUACUAUUUCAGGUUUUUCCUGGCUCACAGAGCAGCAUCUUGUAAUAUCAUAAUAUCCUCUAUUUAGACAAAUGCAAGGAAGAACUCAGGAUCUCACCAGUUUGGUGGUUGUUUUUUGAACUUUCUGAAGGAUAUCUGGCAAUAUGAAGCUGCUACCCUGAAUCUUGAUGGUAGGGUCAAGCUCAGUUGUCUUCCUCAGCUCUUUGACUUCAACUGUCUUCUUGGAUAUGACUUCAAACUAAAAAGUCCCCCAGCUGAAUUAUGCCCCUUCGUCAUGGAAUUCACACCCCACCCCCUCCACUGACGCAAACUUUGGAGAGCAGCUCCAUGGAGGAUAACUUAAGUGCUGCCUGCAGACCUAAGUCUAUGGGUCCUACAAAGGCAAAGAAUCUUUUCAAACUUGACAGAAGUUGGAUGAUGUCAAUGAAUGUGCAAAUAUGCCUGAUGCUAUGGAACUAG